Molecule: ribosomal RNA, 253 nt
Filed under: uncultured bacterium
Lineage: Bacteria
Description: partial 16S ribosomal RNA
Rfam family: Bacterial small subunit ribosomal RNA
Source: RNAcentral
UACGAAGGGGGCUAGCGUUGCUCGGAAUCACUGGGCGUAAAGGGUGCGUAGGCGGGUCUUUUAGUCAGGGGUGAAAUCCUGGAGCUCAACUCCAGAACUGCCUUUGAUACUGAAGAUCUUGAGUUCGGGAGAGGUGAGUGGAACUGCGAGUGUAGAGGUGAAAUUCGUAGAUAUUCGCAAGAACACCAGUGGCGAAGGCGGCUCACUGGCCCGAUACUGACGCUGAGGCACGAAAGCGUAGGGAGCAAACAGG